This 253-nucleotide ribosomal RNA is filed under the name uncultured bacterium. RNAcentral describes it as "partial 16S ribosomal RNA". It matches the Rfam family "Bacterial small subunit ribosomal RNA", at positions 524 to 776 of the family's 1533-position model. The record is from RNAcentral.
UACGAAGGGGGCUAGCGUUGUUCGGAAUUACUGGGCGUAAAGCGUUUGUAGGCGGUUAUACAAGUCAGUGGUGAAAGCCCAGGGCUUAACCUUGGAAUUGCCAUUGAAACUGUAUAGCUAGAGAGUGUUAGAGGAAAGUGGAAUUCCUAGUGUAGGAGUGAAAUCCGUAGAGAUUAGGAGGAAUAUCGAUGGCGAAGGCAGCUUUCUGGGACAUUUCUGACGCUGAGAAACGAAAGCGUGGGUAGCAAACAGG